This 811-nucleotide long non-coding RNA is filed under the name Homo sapiens (human). RNAcentral describes it as "HSALNT0293901". The record is from RNAcentral. Lineage: Eukaryota; Metazoa; Chordata; Mammalia; Primates; Hominidae.
CCAGCAGUCAUCCUUCUACCCAGUACAGGGGAAAUUUCUUUUUCCUGUACUAGGCUUAGGGAAUAGCACUUUGGGGGGCUAACCCCUGGUGCUGCCCUAACCUCUUCCUCACAAAACCUUUCAUACAGCUGUGAGAGGCAAACUUCUCAGUUGUCAGCAUUUCCAGGAAGAAAGAACCCCUUGAGUGAUCUCCAUGUGACCUCGUCUGUCUCAGGUUCAUGAACAUGAAGGUGAGAGCAGCUCUUCCUCACAGCAUGACCAGGCAGUGACAAACACGCCACAUGGAAGGAAAUGAGUGAACAAUCCUCGCAUAUUCUGAAAUGAGGAGAUUGAGGUGCAAAGAGAGGCUAAGUUGCCCAAGGUUGCAUGUCUAAAAAGUAUCAGAGGAUGAGAAUACAGAUCUGACCAGGAUUCUAAAGCCCACGUCAUUCCCUCCACACCUGGUAGCUUCAGCCUUGCCCAGCUCCUGGUGGAACUUCCGCUCCGGGAUCCUGAAAUGCCCUGCAUGAAUCAUCAAGGGACAAAAAGAGGAGACUUUCCAGGGACUGACGCCCUCCCAGCCACCGUGGGAUCCCGGCUACUGUGACUGAGCCCAGUCAUGACUCCAGAGUGCUUCACAUCACAUCAUUCUUUCUCAGCAUCCAAAAUCCUCUCACAGUGAAGCAGCAGGACCACCCAGGUACAGCGCACCUCGAGCUCUGCCCCUCAAAGGGAGUGGCCUCUCCUGGCUAUUGGCAAAGCUACCAGAAACUUGGCUUCAGACCAUUCACAUCUAAACAGGUGGUCCAGAUAUUCUGGCAGGGAUGUGCAU